GUGCCAGCAGCCGCGGUAAUACGUAGGUGGCAAGCGUUAUCCGGAAUUAUUGGGCGUAAAGCGCGCGUAGGCGGUUUUUUAAGUCUGAUGUGAAAGCCCACGGCUCAACCGUGGAGGGUCAUUGGAAACUGGAAAACUUGAGUGCGGAAGAGGAAAGUGGAAUUCCAUGUGUAGCGGUGAAAUGCGCAGAGAUAUGGAGGAACACCAGUGGCGAAGGCGACUUUCUGGUCUGUAACUGACGCUGAUGUGCGAAAGCGUGGGGAUCAAACAGGAUUAGAUAC
Molecule: ribosomal RNA, 281 nt
Filed under: uncultured Staphylococcus sp.
Lineage: Bacteria; Bacillati; Bacillota; Bacilli; Caryophanales; Staphylococcaceae
Description: partial 16S ribosomal RNA
Rfam family: Bacterial small subunit ribosomal RNA
Source: RNAcentral